AUACUUAGCUCAGCUAGUUCAGAGCGUCCCGAUUGACAUCGGGAGAAGUCACUGGUUCGAACCCAAUAGCUACCA
RNAcentral lists this transfer RNA (75 nucleotides) under Mucilaginibacter terrenus. RNAcentral's name for it is "Mucilaginibacter sp. ZH6 tRNA-OTHER". Lineage: Bacteria; Pseudomonadati; Bacteroidota; Sphingobacteriia; Sphingobacteriales; Sphingobacteriaceae. The record is from RNAcentral.